UUAAAUGAAACCAAAAUAGAGGAAAAUUAUUGUUAAUAAUUAAAUUGAAUCAAAUUCCAUUUAAA
RNAcentral lists this transfer RNA (65 nucleotides) under Amblyjoppa sp. ZJUH_2016002. RNAcentral's name for it is "tRNA-Asn". Lineage: Eukaryota; Metazoa; Arthropoda; Insecta; Hymenoptera; Ichneumonidae. The record is from RNAcentral.